Molecule: ribosomal RNA, 364 nt
Filed under: uncultured Coriobacteriales bacterium
Lineage: Bacteria; Bacillati; Actinomycetota; Coriobacteriia; Coriobacteriales
Description: bacterial SSU rRNA
Rfam family: Bacterial small subunit ribosomal RNA
Source: RNAcentral
AGUAGUUUGAUCAGUGGCUCGAGGACGAACGCUGGCGGCGUGCCUAACACAUGCAAGUCGAGCGGAGACAUAUGACGGAGUUGAAGUUUUCGGAUGGAGACGAAGAUGUAUGUUUUAGCGGCGGACGGGUGAGUAACGCGUGAGCAACCUGUCCUUCACGAGGGGGAUAACACAGCGAAAGUUGUACUAAUACCGCAUAAGACCACGGUGCUGCAUGGCACAGGGGUCAAAGGAGCAAUCCGGUGAAGGGUGGGCUCGCGUCCGAUUAGAUAGUAGGUGAGGUAACGGCCCACCUAGUCAACGAUCGGUAGCCGACCUGAGAGGGUGAUCGGCCACAUUGGGACUGAGACACGGCCCAAACUCC